GACGAACGCUGGCGGCGUGCUUAACACAUGCAAGUCGAACGGAAAGGCCCCUUUGGUGGUACUCGAGUGGCGACCGGGUGCGUAACACGUGAGUAACCUGCCCUUGACUUCGGGAUAACUUCAGGAAACUGGGGCUAAUACCGGAUAGGAAUCCUUGCUGCAUGGUGGGGGUUGGAAAGCUUCGGCGGUUUUGGAUGGACUGGCGGCUUAUCAGCUUGCUGGUGGGGUAGUGGCUUACCAAGGCUUUGACGGGUAGCCGGCCUGAGAGGGCGACCGGCCACACUGGGACUGAGAGACGGCCGAGACUCCUACGGGAGGCAGCAGUGGGGAAGAUUGCACGAUGGGCGGAGGCCUGAUGCAGCAACGCCGCGUGCGGGAUGACGGCCUUCGUGUUGUAAACCGCUUUCAUCAGGGGCGAUGCUUGUGGUGACGGUACCUGCAGAAGAAGCACCGGCUAACUACGUG
RNAcentral lists this ribosomal RNA (465 nucleotides) under uncultured bacterium. RNAcentral describes it as "partial 16S ribosomal RNA". It matches the Rfam family "Bacterial small subunit ribosomal RNA", at positions 28 to 507 of the family's 1533-position model. The record is from RNAcentral.